Molecule: long non-coding RNA, 497 nt
Filed under: Marmota monax (woodchuck)
Lineage: Eukaryota; Metazoa; Chordata; Mammalia; Rodentia; Sciuridae
Source: RNAcentral
CCGAGAGCGGCUCGCGGUUGCCGUGGGAACCUCGCCGGGGCCAGGCGCUCGGCGCACGACUCUGGGUACCGGGCACCGGGCCUGAGCACCCUCGCGGUGACAGCAGCGUUUUGGAUUUCUAAAAGACACCUGUCGCCAGCCGCGAAGGUGGGGGCUUCGUGACCUGGGUUAUCAGUCCUUUUCCUUUUAAUUAAAUUGUGCCUUAUAAACAGCAGGACAUUCGUGCUCCUGGAAUCUUUGCGUAUAUGCGAACCCCGUCACCACCACCCGGAUGAAGAUGGGCACUUCCCGCGCUCCUGAAGUCCUCCGCCUCCGGCAUGAGCGCAGGGAGAGAGAGGACGCGAGUCCCGGGUCUUCUCCAGGCUCUGCGGCCCCUACCCCUGGCCCUCUUUGGGUGUCAGCUUCCUGUAAAAGGGGAGCAAGGGACCGAGAGGUGCUGCGUAUUCACUCCUUGAAAAGCGCUGGCGCUACUUGCUUUGGCCCUGAAGUUGCCCUGG